This 432-nucleotide ribosomal RNA is filed under the name uncultured bacterium. RNAcentral describes it as "partial 16S ribosomal RNA". It matches the Rfam family "Bacterial small subunit ribosomal RNA", at positions 29 to 507 of the family's 1533-position model. The record is from RNAcentral.
ACGAACGCUGGCGGCAUGCCUAACACAUGCAAGUCGAACGAGACCUUCGGGUCUAGUGGCGCACGGGUGCGUAACGCGUGGGAACCUGCCCUUAGGUUCGGAAUAACUCCCCGAAAGGGGUGCUAAUACCGGAUAAUGUCUUCGGACCAAAGAUUUAUCGCCUUUGGAUGGGCCCGCGUUGGAUUAGCUAGUUGGUAGGGUAAAAGCCUACCAAGGCGACGAUCCAUAGCUGGUCUGAGAGGAUGAUCAGCCACACUGGGACUGAGACACGGCCCAGACUCCUACGGGAGGCAGCAGUGGGGAAUAUUGGACAGUGGGCGAAAGCCUGAUCCAGCAAUGCCGCGUGAGUGAUGAAGGCCUUAGGGUUGUAAAGCUCUUGUACCCGGGAUGAUAAUGACAGUACCGGGAGAAUAAGCCCCGGCUAACUCCGUG